Hylaeus anthracinus is the source of this 1023-nucleotide long non-coding RNA. RefSeq lists it as uncharacterized. The record is from RefSeq and is a predicted model, not a curated record. Lineage: Eukaryota; Metazoa; Arthropoda; Insecta; Hymenoptera; Colletidae. The transcript has 3 exons.
AUUCGUUUGAAGUUUUAUAAUAUCACAUUUUUAACAAAUUUCAUUUAUUAACUAAACUUGUUGAGGGAUUCUGUAGUGAACAAGAGAUCUCCGAAAAAUUCUUUCGAGUCAUCUUAUUCACCGUUCUGUCACAAUCGCUCGAGAUGAAACCGGAAGUCACGCGUUUACGUCCCCCCGUGAAGAUUGAUCGUUCGAAUCGCUUUCGAUCGGAAGGACAACCGGUACGAAACCUUCAGCGUUUAGGUCUUUCUUCCUUAUCUCCUUGCCAGACAUCGUCCUUGAUGAAAUCUUUAGAAACAGUCCUUUAGAAAGGUGAAGCACCAUCAGUCGCCUCGCGUCCAUCCUCCUCGUCGCCUCGAAUAUUCGCGUCACAUUUAGUCUCCUCUAUUAAUCACACGCGGCACCUCUUGCGACUCUUAAUCGCGUUUCCAAGUUUUCUUCUUUUUUCGUCAGACGACGUUCGACGUCCCCCGUCGUCGAGUCACUUCACAGCGACUGUUCGCGGCGCGAAACGUUUCAAGUUUAAGCUGCUUCGAAGUUCGCGUGGGUGGAUGUCAGAAAUGGGCAAAAUUUUAUUUGAAUAAUAAUAUUAUGCCUUCAUCCACGAAGAUACAACAUGUUCCUGUAGUUUUUUGAUAUUUGCAUGAGAGACGAAUAAAUUCAGGGUGAUGUGAAGAGACGAGGUCUUGGAGUGUGGGAAGCGGAGACUUGGGCGGAUUGCUUUUGUAGUGCGUGGACAUUUUUGUAAAUAGCUAUGCUCGCGAUUCUGUUGAUACUGAUGCCAACGCUUUGGCACGCUGCAGCUCAGUCCAGCGUGUUGGUAGCGGACACCACCAUGUCCAGAAUGGUGGAACUGAUCGCGGACGCGCCAUUCUGUGCUCUAUACACCGAUCGUGGCGUCAUACAAAGCAUGGUCCUCAGCGCAGACCCAAAGAAAGUCCGUCAAAUGUCCAGCAAUCUCGUCGCAGACCUUGUAGAAACUUGCAAAGCCUCUCGCGAUAAGGGAAAAAACCAAAAACCAGG